Molecule: ribosomal RNA, 315 nt
Filed under: uncultured eukaryote
Lineage: Eukaryota
Description: partial 18S ribosomal RNA
Rfam family: Eukaryotic small subunit ribosomal RNA
Source: RNAcentral
CCCUUAGACGUUCUGGGCCGCACGCGCGCUACACUGACCAGUGCAACAAGCAUCCGUCCUUGGCCGACAGGCUCGGGCAAUCUUUGAACGCUGGUCGUGAUGGGGAUAGACUUUUGCAAUUUUUGGUCUUCAACGAGGAAUUCCUAGUAAACGCAAGUCAUCAACUUGCAUUGAUUACGUCCCUGCCCUUUGUACACACCGCCCGUCGCACCCACCGAUUGAAUGGUCCGGUGAAGCCUCCGGAUUGGCGCGCACCUCGGUGCCGCCGAGAAGUUGGCUAAACCUUACCAUUUAGAGGAAGGUGAAGUCGUAACA